UUGCGGCUAUAAAAUGUUGAAAUACCUGUUCCCAUACUAUCACUGAAGUUAAGCAACAUUGAGGCUGAUCAGUACUUAUAUGAGCGACCACUUGAGAAUACCAAGUACU
Acanthosepion pharaonis is the source of this 109-nucleotide non-coding RNA. NCBI's taxonomy places the organism in Eukaryota, Metazoa, Mollusca, Cephalopoda, Sepiida, Sepiidae. The record is from the annotation of a GenBank genome assembly.